GGCGGUCGAGGACCCUGACUUGUCUCGCGGUUACUGGGCCGGCGCGAGCACGCGAGGCUCGGGGGCGGCACGGGGCGGGGUUUAGCCCGUGGUGGGCGCUGCGGGUGUUUCCAAGUCGUUGCUCCGCUCGCUGGGCUAAGGUCGUGUCGGGUGAGGAGGUCGCGCCGGAAGUGACUCUGGCCGUGGCGCUUCGGCGUAGUAAGCAGCCUGCGACAGAGUUUUGUUGUUUAGGGGGCGCGGCACCGCACCGCUCCCUUCACCUUGCAGCAGCCAUGGCGAAAGGCAGAGUCGCCGAACGAUCGCAGAUGGGCGCUGACCACACGACCCCCGUGGGGGACGGGGCAGCGGGGACGCGGGGUCCCGCGGCGCCUGGCAGCAGAGACUACCAGAAGGAAAAAUCCUGGGCAGAAGCUGGAUCAGCAAGAAUGUCACUCCUUAUAUUGGUGUCCAUUUUCUUAUCUGCAGCUUUUGUUAUGUUUUUGGUAUAUAAAAAUUUUCCUCAGCUUAGUGAAGAAGAAAGAGUGAAUAUGAAGGUUCCCAGAGAUAUGGAUGAUGCCAAGGCUCUAGGAAAAGUUUUAUCCAAAUACAAGGACACCUUUUAUGUUCAAGUACUUGUAGCUUAUUUUGCUACAUAUAUUUUGUAUCCUUUUAACUGAAAAAAUGUUUUCUAAUUUUGUUCAAGAAAAAGUGUAAAAGAUCUGCUCUUCAUUUAUACAUAACUAUUUUCCUUUUAAAAUUUGUUAUUGCAGUGUAACAAUAUUAAUUGAAAAAUUAAAAUGGAAAAAAUUAUCACUUUAAUCCUAUUUCCUGAACUAAUUGUUCUGAAUUAAUAUGUCUGAAUUGUUCUGAAUUAAUAUGUCUGAAUAUUUAUUACAAGUUCUUUUGUAUUCUGCUUUUUUCACUUAUCAAACAUUUUCCUUUACUGCAUAUUAUUAAGAUGUUUAUUUUAUGGGUUUGAUUUAUCAUUGUGUUCAUUAACUGAUGAUACUAGUUUAUAUAAUUAUUUUGAAUUACUAGUCACCAUAGUAUUUUUAUAAUUGUUCUCUUAGGUUUGGAGGUUGCAGUGAGCCGAGAUCGUGCCACUGCACUCCGGCCUUGGUGACAGAGCAAGAUUCCAUCCCCAAAAAAUAAAAAUAACAAAAAUAAAAAGAAUCAGAAGUAUCCAUAUGUUGUUGAGGUAUUAACUCACAAUAUACAGAUAAGUGAAAGAACAAAGGGCAAAAUAGUAAACAGAUAUGCUGUGUUUUAUCUAAGAAGGGGAUAAUAUGAGUACACUCAUAUACAUAAGUAUCUUAUAUUUUUCUAAAAAAACUAACUGGCCGAGUGUAGUGGCUCAUUCCUGUAAUCCCAGCACUUUGGGAGGCUUAAGUAGGAGGAUUGCUUGAGGCCAGCGGUUUGAGACUGGCUUGGGCAAUGUAGCUAGACCCUGUUUCUACGAGAAAUACAAAAAUUAGCCGGGUGUCUUGGUACAUGCCUGUAGUCCUAGCUACUUGGGAGGCUGAGGUGGGAAGAUCACCUGAGCCCAGGGAGGUUGAGGCUACAGCGAAGCAUUUAGCCUCUGCACUCCAGCCUAGGUAACAGAGUGAGACUGUAUCUCAAAUAAAUAAACCAGUAAAAAUGUUUACCUGUAAGGAGAGAGAGAAAAUGGUAGGACUGAAACUUUUCUUAGCAUAGGUUUGACUUUAGAACCAAGUAAAUGUUUUACAUAAUUACAAAAUCAAAAUGAAAAAAGAGAAUAGCAGGAAGCUUAAGAAUCAAAAGCAACCUCACACUCAUUAGGAUGGCUACUAUGAAACAAAAUAACAAGUGUUGGCAAGGAUGUGGAGAAAUUGGAACCCUUGAGCACUGUUGGUGGGAAUGCAAAAUGAUGCAGCUACUAUGGAAAAUAGUAUGGCAGUUCCUCAAAAAUUAAGAAUAGUAUUAUCAGGGCCGGGUGUGGUGGCUCACACCUGUAAUCCCAGCACUUUGGGAGACCGAGGUAGGCUAAUCACCUGAGGAUGGGAGUUCAAGACCAGCAUGACCAACAUGAAGAAAUCCCGUCUCUUCAUGUAUUUUUUUGUAGCGAUGGGAUUUCAUCAUGUUGCCCAGGCUGGUCUCGAACUGGAACUCCUGGGCUCAAGUGAUCCUCCCACCUCAGCCUCCCAAGGUGCUGAGAUUACAGGCGUGAGUCACCAGGCCUAGCCAAAAAUCUUAAAACUGUUUUUAAUAAUCAUAUUGUUAGUAAUAAUGUUGUAAAAUAUUUAAAUAUGUGGAAACGUUUUAGAUUAUUAAUACUAAUGCAUAGUAUAUAUUUUAUACAUUUACUUUAAAAUAUGUUUCAUAGUAUAUAAAGCACAAAUAGGCAACUAUGUUGGUGUUACCGAGAACCAAGAUUUUUCAGUGUAAGAGAAGAGAAAUCUAAACAAAGUUAAGCUCAAGUCACAUUCCCAUGCAAAAGUAAGCAUAGUUUUGACUACUAGUAUAAGAUAAAGGAUAGAACAUAAACUACCCUAAGUAUCCAAUAGGCAAAAAUCAGUAAAUGGUAAAUUCUACAAAUGAUCUGGUUUCUUCAGUAAAUUGAAAGAAAGAAAAAAUAAAUAAAGACCUUAUGCUUAAGUGAUCCUUUGAGCAAAUACUUUGUGUGGAUUUUUAGAUUCUGAUCAGACUAGUCUUUAGGACAAUAAGGAAUUAUAGUUAAUUUCUUGAAGUCUGACAAUGGUAUUAUAUUUAUGUUAAAAAGAAAAGGAGGCCAGGCACGGUGGCUCACACCUAUAAUCCCAGUACUUUGGGAGGCGGAGGCAGGUGGAUCACGAGGUCGGGAGUUCAAGACCAACCUGACCAAGAUGGUGAAACCCUGUCUCUACUAAAAAUACAAAAAUUAGCCAGUUGUGGUGGCAGGUGCCUGUGAUCCCAACUACUCGGGAGGCUGAGGCAGAGAAUUGCUUGAACCCGGGAUGCGGAGAUUGCAGUGAGCUGAGAUCACGCCACUGCCCUCCAGCCUGGGCGACAGAGCGAGACUCCUACCUCAAAAACGAAAGGAAAAAAAAAGGAAUUGGCUGGGCAUGGUGGCCACACCUGUAAUCCCAGCACUUUGGGAGGCCAAGCAGGGUGGAUCACGAGGUCGGGAGAUAGAGACUAUCCUGGCCAACAUGGUGAAACCUGUCUGUACUAAAAAUAAAAUUAGCUGGGCGCGAUGGUGCACGCUUAUAAUCCGAGCUACUAGGGAGGCUGAGGCAGGAGAAUCGCUUGAACCUGGGAGGCAGGGGUUGCAGUGAGCCGAGAUCAUGCCACUGCACUCCAGCCUGGCGACAGAACGAGACUCAGUCUCAAACAAAAAAAGAAUUUAUUUUUAUUAUUAUUAUUAUUUUUUGAGACGGCGUCUCACUGUGUUUCCCAGGCUGGAGUGCAGCGACGCGAUCUCGGCCCACUGCAACCUCCGCUGCCCAAGUUCAAGCAAUUCUCCUGCUUCAGCUUCUGGAGUAGCUGAGAUUACAGGCACCUGCCACUGCGCACAGCUAAUUUUUUGUAUUCUUUGAACUCCUGACCUCGUGAUCCACCUGCCUCAGCCUCCCAAAGUGCUGGGAUUACAGGUGUAAGCCACUGCGCCUGGCAGAAAAGGAAUUAUUUUAAUGAUAUUAAAAUAUUCGGACAUUGAAAAAUGUGGUGUUUUAAUUUUUAUUUAUUUUAUUGAUUUAUUUAUUUUUUGAGACAGAGUCUCGCUCUUGUUGCCCAGGUUGGAGUGCAGUGGCGCGAUCUGGGCUCGCUACAACCUCUGCUUCCUGUGCUCAAGUGAUUCUCCUGUCUCAGCCUCCCGAGCAGCUGGGACUAUAGGCACAUGCCACCAUGCCUGGCUAAUUUUUUUUUUUUUUUUUGAGACGGAGUCUUGCUCUGUCACCCAGACUGGAGUACAGUGGCGUGAUCUUGGCUCACUGCAAGCGCCGCCUCCUGGGUUCAUGCCAUUCUCCUGCCUCAGCCUCCCGAGUAGCUGGGACUACAGAUGCCCGCCACCAUGCCCAGCUAAUUUUUUUUAUUUUUUUGGUGGAGAUGGGGUUUCACCGUGUUAGCCAGGAUGGUCUCGAUCUCCUGACCUCGUGAUCCGCCCGCCUCAGCCUCCCGAAGUGCUGGGAUUACAGGCGUGAGCCACCGUGCCCGGCCUAAUUUUUGUAUUUUUAGGAGAGACGGCGUUUUACCAUAUUGGUCGUCUGGUCUGAAACUCCUGACCUCAGGUGACCCACCCGCCUCGGCCUCCCAAAGUGCUGGGAUUACAGGCAUAAGCCACUGCACCUGGUCUUUGUUUAUUUAUUUAUGAGAUGGAGUCUCACUCUGUUACCCAGGCUGGAGUGCAAUGGCACAAUCUCGGCUUACCACAACCUCUGCCUCCUGGGUUCAAGCGAUUCUCCUGCCUCAACCUCCCAAGUAGCUGGGACUACAGGCAUGCACCACCACGCCCAGCUAAUUUUUGUAUUUUUAGUAGAGACGUGGUUUCACUAUGCUGGGCAGGCUGGUCUCGAACUCCUGACCUCAUGAUCCACCUGCCUUGGCCUCCCAAAGUGUUGGGAUUACAGGUAUGAGCCACCGCACCCAGCCUUAUUUUUAUUUUUAUUUUUUUUUUGAAACAGAGUCUCACUCUGUUUCCCAGGCCAGAGGUCAGUGGCAUGAUCUCGGCUCACUACAACUUCUGCUCUCUGGGUUUAAGUGAUUCUUGUAUCCCAGUCUCCUGAGUACCUGGCAUUACAGGCAUGAGCCAGUGUGCCUGGCCAAUUUUUGUAUUUUUAUUAAAGACAGGGUUUCAUCAUGUUGGCCAGGCUGUUCUUCAACUCCUAGUCUCAAAUGAUCCACCCUCAGCUGCCUAAAGUAUUGGGAUUACAGGUGGGAGCCACCGUGCCCAGCCUGAACUAUGUUAAUAUAGGGCAUCAUAACACUAGUUUCUCUACUUCGUUUUUUUUUCCCCCAAUUUCAGCUGUAAUUUUAGGUUUCCUUUUCAGAGAAGUAGGAAUUGCACCAAAUUUUGGGGAAAGAAAAAAUACAGUUGCAUUAAACAGUAACAACAAAAACAACAAAAUACUUCCCUGGAACUUGUCCUCAUUUAUUUCUGCUUCUCUCAAUUUCCUCAAGGGAAAAUUUCCAUUUAUCUCCUCUCCUUUCAUCCUUUGGAGUCUUGCUUUCUUUUUUUUUUUCUUUUUUUUUUUAAUUAUUAUACUUUAAGUUCUGGGGUACAUGUGCACAGCGUGCAGGUUUGUUACAUAGGUAUACGUGUGCCACGUUGGUUUGCUGCACCCAUCAACUUGUCAUUUACAUUGAGUAUUUCUACAUUUAUAUAUGUGUGAAACUAUCCAUAAUAUGAUGUUUUGUUUUGUUUUGUUUUUGAGAUGGAGUCUCGCUCUGUUGCCAGGCUGGCAUGCAGCGGCGAGAUCUCGGCUCACUGCAAUCUCCUGCCUUCCGGGUUCAAGCGAUUCCCCUGCCUCAGCUUCCCGAGUAGCUGGGACUACAGGCGCCCACCACCACGCCCGGCUAAUUUUUUGUAUUUUAGUAGAGACAGGGUUUCACCAUGUUGGCCAGGAUGGUCUCAAUCUCCUGACUUUGUGAUCCACCUGCCUCGGACUCCCUAAGUGCUGGAAUUACAGGCAUGCGCCACCCCACCUGGCCCAUAUAGUACAGUCUUAACCCAAAAAGUGUGUGUGUGUGUGUGUGUGUGUGUGUGUGUGUGUGUUUUGUUUUUGAUGGAGACAUGUAGGAGACAGGUGGAAAAUUUGAGGCUGAUGAACCAAAGAGAAUUUCGAGUUUUUAGGACUAUAUGUGGUUGAUACUUGAAGCCAUGGAAAUUGCCAAAUUUAUCAAAGAAAAGGGAUUAUGUGGCUAACAGAAUGUUAGAGAAAUUUCAGAUUUGAGGGCAAAGAGAAAAAUGUAGAGAAGAAAUUACCUGUAAUGUAGAAGAAAAAGUACAGUUCACUGAAGCCAUGUUCCAUGCAGGAUGAAUUCUAAUGCUAUGCGAGGAUCACUGAAAGGUGACUAUUGAGAAAAAGUUAUUAUUGAGUAUGAGGAAGUUUCAAUAGCAUAGUGGAAUAGUAAAGCAGGUCACAGGGAACAAGGAGAGAAUCUCCUCUGAGGAAGUGAAGAUGAGCAGUAGCUGGAUAGGAUACCCUGGUUGAGGUUGUUUUUUAAGUUAUAGGCAACUGAGUAGUUUUCUAGAGGAGGCAUCCUAUGAAAGAGAACAGAGUUGAAGGUGAAAAAGCCCAGGAGGAAGGAGGAGUAGAUUGAAAUGAGAACAUGAGUAAAAUGGGAACUAGAGAAAAAGGAAUAGUUAAUGAGUGAAGAUAGAUGGAGAGAUGUUGAGGGAAUUCACUUUGACUUGUGAGUAAAUCGUAUUAGAGGGGAAAAAGGUUCAGAUCCAAACUGGGAACGACAGGAAAGUAAAAAAAAAUUCUAUUUUGAAAACAAGAUUUGUGGCUCGGGUGUAGUCGCUCAUAUCUGUAACCUCAACACUUCGGGAGUCCAAUGUGGGAGGAUCGUUUGAGCCCACGAGUUCAAGACUAGCCUGGGCAACUCAGCCAGACCUCAUCUCUACAAAUAAUAAAAAUUGGUGUGGUGACACGUCUGUGAUCCCAGCUACUUGCGAGGCUGAAGUGGCACAAUUGGUUGAGCUUGGGCAUUUGAGGCUGCAGUGAACCAUGAGUGUGCCACUGCGUUCCAGCCUGGGUGACAAAGCAAGACCCCUUCUCAAAUAAGAUUUGUGACUUUUACUAUAUUUUGUAAUUUCUAUUCUUAUUUUUGUUAUUUUCUUUUAUUCUCUUCUAGUUCCUGUUCCUUUAAAAUGAGUAGUGAAUUUAGGUAAACCCUCAUAGUAAAAUUAGAAAUAAUUGUAUGUACAUGAUUUCCCUGAAACCAUUUGGGAGUAAAAUAAAAUGUAUUAGAGAAGCACUAAAAGAUUACGGAAGACCUUUUCUUUUUUCUUUUGUUUCUCCCCCAAAGUGCCUGGUUUCUCUCUAUCUAGAACGUAUGGAUUUUUGUCUUGGAAACCUUUUAGUAGCACACACUUACUAGUAUUUAUGAUACUGUUUAGUAAAUGGUCAACUUAGAAGCUAAACCUUUGGAUAUAAUCUCAUUAUAUGAUAAUUUUUGUAUUUAUACUUUUUUCCUGAAAUGUUACAUUUGUCUUUUAAAAUUCUACUUAA
RNA transcript from Pongo pygmaeus (Bornean orangutan), 7151 nucleotides. It is a transcript of the gene named transmembrane protein 41B, with no coding region annotated. NCBI's taxonomy places the organism in Eukaryota, Metazoa, Chordata, Mammalia, Primates, Hominidae. The transcript has 4 exons. The record is from RefSeq and is a predicted model, not a curated record.